CGACGUAGGUAACCUGCCUGGUAGUGGGGGGUAACUAUUGGAAACGAUAGCUAAUACCGCAUAAUAACAGUUGUUGCAUGACAACUGUUUGAAAGGUGCAAUUGCAUCACUACCAGAUGGACCUGCGUUGUAUUAGCUAGUUGGUGGGGUAACGGCUCACCAAGGCGACGAUACAUAGCCGACCUGAGAGGGUGAUCGGCCACACUGGGACUGAGACACGGCCCAG
This 226-nucleotide ribosomal RNA is filed under the name uncultured bacterium. RNAcentral's name for it is "partial 16S ribosomal RNA". It matches the Rfam family "Bacterial small subunit ribosomal RNA", at positions 113 to 334 of the family's 1533-position model. The record is from RNAcentral.